CUACGGGUGGCACCAGUGGGGAAUUUUGGACAAUGGGCGAAAGCCUGAUCCAGCAAUGCCGCGUGCAGGAAGAAGGCCUUCGGGUUGUAAACUGCUUUUGUACGGAGCGAAAAGGUCCUUUCUAAUACAAGGGGCUCAUGACGGUACCGUAAGAAUAAGCACCGGCUAACUACGUGCCAGCAGCCGCGGUAAUACGUAGGGUGCAAGCGUUAAUCGGAAUUACUGGGCGUAAAGCGUGCGCAGGCGGUUUUGUAAGACAGGCGUGAAAUCCCCGGGCUCAACCUGGGAAUGGCGCUUGUGACUGCAAAGCUGGAGUGCGGCAGAGGGGGAUGGAAUUCCGCGUGUAGCAGUGAAAUGCGUAGAUAUGCGGAGGAACACCGAUGGCGAAGGCAAUCCCCUGGGCCUGCACUGACGCUCAUGCACGAAAGCGUGGGGAGCAAACAGGAUUAGAUACCCGUGUAGUC
This 464-nucleotide ribosomal RNA is filed under the name uncultured bacterium. RNAcentral's name for it is "partial 16S ribosomal RNA". It matches the Rfam family "Bacterial small subunit ribosomal RNA", at positions 339 to 795 of the family's 1533-position model. The record is from RNAcentral.